This 214-nucleotide long non-coding RNA is filed under the name Elaeis guineensis (African oil palm). Its description in RNAcentral is "long non-coding RNA (EGUI_LNC018288)". Lineage: Eukaryota; Viridiplantae; Streptophyta; Magnoliopsida; Arecales; Arecaceae. The record is from RNAcentral.
CCGUACUUAGGUCAAAUAACUCUGGAUGGAGAUCCUUCAGAAUUUUUCUAUUUUCUAUACCGAGUGUUUACCUUUCACAACUGGAUGAUCCACCUAUUGACAUAGCAUUCAUGGGCCUUCUGAGCAACAUGCUUGAGCUAGUCGACAAAUCUUCACCAUGACAAAUCAGUCUCUUAUAAGUAACAUCUAUACCACAUUCGUAUAAAUAAUUCUG